Molecule: ribosomal RNA, 1348 nt
Filed under: Stelidota octomaculata
Lineage: Eukaryota; Metazoa; Arthropoda; Insecta; Coleoptera; Nitidulidae
Description: eukaryotic LSU rRNA
Rfam family: Eukaryotic large subunit ribosomal RNA
Source: RNAcentral
CACGGACCAAGGAGUCUAGCAUGUGCGCGAGUCAUUGGGACAAAACUAAACCUAAAGGCGCAAUGAAAGUAAAAGUCAACCUUGUGUUGGCCAAGGGAAGAUGGGUGGUCAUCCUAAUUUAGGGGCCACUCCGCACUCCCGGGGCGUCUCAUUCUCAUUGCGAGAAGAGGCGCACCAAGAGCGUACACGCUGGGACCCGAAAGAUGGUGAACUAUGCCUGGUCAGGACGAAGUCAGGGGAAACCCUGAUGGAGGUCCGUAGCGAUUCUGACGUGCAAAUCGAUCGUCGGAACUGGGUAUAGGGGCGAAAGACUAAUCGAACCAUCUAGUAGCUGGUUCCCUCCGAAGUUUCCCUCAGGAUAGCUGGUGCUCGUUUUGAACGAGUCUCAUCCGGUAAAGCGAAUGAUUAGAGGCAUUGGGGUCGAAACGACCUCAACCUAUUCUCAAACUUUAAAUGGGUGAGAUCUCCGGCUUGCUUAAAUGUGAAGCCGCGAGAUCGGAUCAGAGUGCCAAGUGGGCCAUUUUUGGUAAGCAGAACUGGCGCUGUGGGAUGAACCAAACGCCGAGUUAAAGCGCCUAAAUCGACGCUUAUGGGAUACCAUGAAAGGCGUUGGUAACUUAAGACAGCAGGACGGUGGCCAUGGAAGUCGGAAUCCGCCAAGGAGUGUGUAACAACUCACCUGCCGAAGUUACUAGCCCUGAAAAUGGAUGGCGCUGAAGCGUCGUGCUUAUACUCGGCCGUCAGUGACAUGUGCGGUCUAAAUUUAUUUAGUCCAUGAAGUCCUGACGAGUAGGAGGGUCGCGACGGUGAGCGCAGAAGGAUUGGCCGUGAGGCCAUCUGGAGCCGCCGUCGGUGCAGAUCUUGGUGGUAGUAGCAAAUACUCCAGCGAGGCCCUGGAGGACUGACGUGGAGAAGGGUUUCGUGUGAACAGCUGUUGCACACGAGUCAGUCGAUCCUAAGCCCUAGGCGAAAGCCGAUGUUAAUGUGGUGUAUUUUAUAUACAUUUAAACAUACACACCCAUUGGGCGAAAGGGAAUCCGGUUCCUAUUCCGGAACCCGGCAGCGGAACCGCUUAUAAGUCGGGCCCUCGCAAGAGAGUUCGUCGGGGUAACCCAAAAGGACCCGGAGACGCCGUCGGGAGAUCCGGGAAGAGUUUUCUUUUCUGCAUGAGCGUUCGAGUUCCAUGGAAUCCUCUAGCAGGGAGAUAUGGUUUGGAACGCGAAGAGCACCGCAGUUGCAGCGGUGUCCGGAUCUUCCCCUCGGACCUUGAAAAUCCGGGAGAGGGCCACGUGGAGGCGUCGCGCCGGUUCGUACCCAUAUCCGCAGCAGGUCUCCAAGGUGAAGAGCC